Molecule: ribosomal RNA, 254 nt
Filed under: uncultured bacterium
Lineage: Bacteria
Description: partial 16S ribosomal RNA
Rfam family: Bacterial small subunit ribosomal RNA
Source: RNAcentral
UACAGAGACUGCAAGCGUUAUUCGGAUUCACUGGGCGUAAAGGGUGCGCAGGCGGCCAGGUGUGUCAGGUGUGAAAGCCCGGAGCUUAACUCCGGAAUUGCGCCUGAAACUACUUGGCUAGAGCAUUGGAGAGGGUAGCGGAAUUCACGGUGUAGCAGUGAAAUGCGUAGAUAUCGUGAGGAACACCAGAGGCGAAAGGCGGCUACCUGGACAAUUGCUGACGCUCAGGCACGAAAGCGUGGGGAGCAAAAGGG